Molecule: non-coding RNA, 453 nt
Organism: Hipposideros armiger (great roundleaf bat)
Lineage: Eukaryota; Metazoa; Chordata; Mammalia; Chiroptera; Hipposideridae
Source: the annotation of a RefSeq genome assembly
GUCUGAGUUUCUGGGGAAGGCAGAGCUGUGGUCUAGAAGAAGAUGAGGCUGCUGGGUCUUCUCCUGUGCCUGGUGACAGCCCCCCAAGGUGUCCUGUCCCAGUUGCAGCUGCAGGAGUCGGGCCCAGGACUGGUGAAGCCCUCGCAGACUCUGUCCCUCACCUGCACUGUUUCGGGGGGUUCUGUCACCAGCAGUAACUAUUGGCAUUGGAUCCGCCAGUGCCCUGAGAAAGGGUUGGAGUGGAUGGGGUACUGGACAGGGAGCACAAGCUACAACCCAGCAUUCCAGGGCCGAAUCUCCAUCACGGCUGACACAUCAAAGAACCAGUUCUCCCUGCAGCUGAGCUCUGUGACCUCCGAGGACACGGCCGUGUAUUACUGUGCGAGGGGCACAGUGAGGGGCAGUGUGAGUCCAGACACAAACCUCCCUGAGGGGACAGGGGGGCUGGGCUGA